RNA transcript from Cucumis sativus (cucumber), 1038 nucleotides. It is a transcript of the gene named ribosomal protein S14, mitochondrial, with no coding region annotated. The record is from RefSeq and is a predicted model, not a curated record. Lineage: Eukaryota; Viridiplantae; Streptophyta; Magnoliopsida; Cucurbitales; Cucurbitaceae. The transcript has 4 exons.
GUGAAGCGAAAUGUCGGGGGACAAGCGAAACAUUCUCGAUAAUUAUCGCCGACAGCUUGCUGCCAAGUUCGAGUUGAAGCGGAAUCUUUUCAAAGCCAUCUGCAACGAUCCGAGUCUUCCCAAAGAUAUUCGUGAGGAGCAUCGUAAUAAGCUGUCGAAGUUGCCAAGAAAUAGUUCGUUCACUCGAUUGAGGAAUCGCUGCAUUUUCACCGGUCGACCUCGGGGUGUCUACCAGCUUUUCCGUAUGUCUCGUAUCGUUUUCCGUGAACUGGCGAAGAAAGGUCUUGUAAUGGGUGUCAAGAAAGCUUCUUGGUAGAUAUUGGUUCAGUAAUAAGGAGAGGGAUAUUUGCUAGUUCAAAUCUACAGAUCUGGAUUUCUCUAUAGUUUUUUCCCACCCUAGCACUAGAAUUUUAUAAGAAGAUUUCUCAACCUCGCCAAAGUGAGGUUGGCUCGAUGGUGGUAUUGGUAUGACCUCCAUUCCUCUAGGUCAGAGGUUCAAUCCUCUAACUCCUAGUUGUUGUAUUAAAAAAAAAGAUAUCUCACCCUCUUUAAUUUUUACUUUUCUUUGUUGUCAUUUGGGGUAUUUGGCUGAAGCCCAAUAAUAAUAUAAUGGUAUCGUUGGUUAAGAGGUCGUGUGGCUGAGGUUUGGGAGUUCGCUAGAUGUAUUGCCUCCCUUUGAGUGUGCAUCACUAGAUUGAUGGUAGAGACUUUUGUCGUUGUUGGGUUGUUAUAUUUCUACAAAGUUAUCUCUUUAAUCUCAGCGGGAAUUAACUAUAUGCUCUGAAAAAGGUGAUAUUACUUUUAAGUUCCUUGGACAUGAUUCAUGCCAAAGAAUAGUAAAGGCUUUACUUUUGCUAUUCAAUAAGUGUUUUAUCUUAGACAGUUACUAAUGGUGGUGUAUUUUUCUGAUAGUUACGAUUUUCUUUUCCCCUGCUUAUCUGCUACUUACCCUCUUUUUUACUGCGUUUUCAUUUGAAUUUUGGCCUAGUAAUCUAUAAACUUUUCACAUCACCUUGACCAUCCAUCAAGGAUUCGAUA